Molecule: ribosomal RNA, 253 nt
Filed under: uncultured bacterium
Lineage: Bacteria
Description: partial 16S ribosomal RNA
Rfam family: Bacterial small subunit ribosomal RNA
Source: RNAcentral
CACGUAGGGUGCAAGCGUUGUCCGGAAUUAUUGGGCGUAAAGAGCUCGUAGGCGGUUCGUCGCGUCGGCUGUGAAAUCCCGAGGCUCAACCUCGGGUCUGCAGUCGAUACGGGCGGACUGGAGUACUGCAGGGGAGACUGGAAUUCCUGGUGUAGCGGUGAAAUGCGCAGAUAUCAGGAGGAACACCGGUGGCGAAGGCGGGUCUCUGGGCAGUUACUGACGCUGAGGAGCGAAAGCGUGGGGAGCGAACAGG